GACGAACGCUGGCGGCGUGCUUAACACAUGCAAGUCGAACGGAAAGGCCCUGCUUGCAGGGUGCUCGAGUGGCGAACGGGUGAGUAACACGUGGGUGAUCUGCCCCUUACUUUGGGAUAAGCCUGGGAAACUGGGUCUAAUACUGGAUAGGACCAUGCUGUAGGUGGUGUGGUGGAAAGAUUAGUUUCGGUAAGGGAUGAGCUCGCGGCCUAUCAGCUUGUUGGUGGGGUAAUGGCCUACCAAGGCGUCGACGGGUAGCCGGCCUGAGAGGGUGGACGGCCACAUUGGGACUGAGAUACGGCCCAGACUCCUACGGGAGGCAGCAGUGGGGAAUAUUGCACAAUGGGCGCAAGCCUGAUGCAGCGACGCCGCGUGGGGGAUGACGGCCUUCGGGUUGUAAACUCCUUUCAGCUAUGACGAAGCCCUUGUGGUGACGGUAGUGGUAGAAGAAGCACCGGCUAACUACGUG
RNAcentral lists this ribosomal RNA (469 nucleotides) under uncultured bacterium. Its description in RNAcentral is "partial 16S ribosomal RNA". It matches the Rfam family "Bacterial small subunit ribosomal RNA", at positions 28 to 507 of the family's 1533-position model. The record is from RNAcentral.